UACGUAGGGUGCGAGCGUUGUCCGGAAUUAUUGGGCGUAAAGAGCUCGUAGGCGGUUCGUCGCGUCGAAUGUGAAAACCCGGGGCUCAACUCCGGGCCUGCAUUCGAUACGGGCGGACUAGAGUUCGGUAGGGGAGACUGGAAUUCCUGGUGUAGCGGUGGAAUGCGUAGAGAUCGGGAAGAACAUCAGUGGCGAAGGCGGCCUGCUGGGCUGUUGCUGACGCUGAGGCGCGACAGCGUGGGGAGCAAACAGG
This 253-nucleotide ribosomal RNA is filed under the name uncultured bacterium. RNAcentral describes it as "partial 16S ribosomal RNA". It matches the Rfam family "Bacterial small subunit ribosomal RNA", at positions 524 to 776 of the family's 1533-position model. The record is from RNAcentral.